Molecule: long non-coding RNA, 806 nt
Filed under: Oryza sativa Indica Group (long-grained rice)
Lineage: Eukaryota; Viridiplantae; Streptophyta; Magnoliopsida; Poales; Poaceae
Description: lncRNA OsMH63_11G008180
Source: RNAcentral
GAGGAACGCGCUGUUCUUCUACUCCGAUGCCCGUCGUAAGAGUCUUGUGGCGGCCAACACCUCUGCUUUCGCCGCCAGAUCAUCCCGUUGUCUGCACAGCAUGGGGUCUCUGGGGUCGCCGGCGGGGAGGAGAGCACGCCGGUUCCACGACUUGAGGGAUGUGGUCUUGGAACAUGCCGAUGCUGCUACCGCUACGUUGUCUGUUGUUGUUUUCUCUGCGGUUGCUGGAAUUUUGCAUUUGAUGCAAGAUACAGACGAAGCUCGGAAGGAGGACACACCCACUAAGACAAAUCCUUACUUCCGUUCCAACCAGUUGAUGGAAGACUUGAUACGAGAGAGGGCGUCUUACAACGAAACAACGCCUGACGAGAAGACCGUGGUUCGAGAGUACAUGGAGGAUGAUCAAGACAUAAGGGCAAGGUUCAAGGAUUGGAUGAAGGAGCAUGGCAGGACAUACAAGCAGGACGAGGUGGAGGAGGCUAGGCGAUUCAAAAUAUUCAAGUCAGUUGCAAGAUUUUCUGAUGCAGCCAACGAUGAUUCUGCCAACGCAGGGCACUCGACCCGUUUUGGCCUGAAUGAGUUUUCAGACUGGAACCAGGAAGAACUUGCUCGGAUGUGUUGUUGUAUGCCAGCUAGGAGUGAUGGGGAUCUGGCAUCAGGUAUAGCUGACAUGGAGUACAAGGUAUGUAUUCCCAAUUUCAUCUAUACAAUGUAUAUUUUAAUUUGUUUUUCUGAUAGACAUGGAUCGAGUGCAUUAACUGGAGAAGCCCUUAGCUUGAUCUGUCCCAAAAUGUAACGUGUUUUGG